CUCUUCUCUUAAGAUACUUAUGAACGAUACAGAGAAGAUUAGCAUGGCCCCUGAGCAAGGAUGACACGCAAAUUCGUGAAGCGUUCCAUAUUUUU
RNAcentral lists this small nuclear RNA (95 nucleotides) under Cebus imitator (Panamanian white-faced capuchin). The record is from RNAcentral. Lineage: Eukaryota; Metazoa; Chordata; Mammalia; Primates; Cebidae.